UUGGAGGGCAAGUCUGGUGCCAGCAGCCGCGGUAAUUCCAGCUCCAAUAGCGUAUAUUAAAGUUGUUGCAGUUAAAAAGCUCGUAGUUGAAUUUCGGGAUUGACACAUCGGUCGUGCCCUAAGGGGUAUGAACUGGUGUAGUCAGUUUCUCACCUUCUGGAGAACCGCGAUGUCCUUAAUUGGGUGCCGCGGGGAACCAGGACCUUUACUUUGAAAAAAUUAGAGUGUUUAAAGCAGGCAUUUUGCUUGAAUACAUUAGCAUGGAAUAAUAAAAUAGGACGGAUGGUUCUAUUUUGUUGGUUUCUAGGAUCACCGUAAUGAUUAAUAGGGAUAGUUGGGGGCAUUAGUAUUCAAUUGUCAGAGGUGAAAUUCUUGGAUUUAUUGAAGACUAACUACUGCGAAAGCAUUUGCCAAGGAUGUUUUCAUUAAUCAAGAACGAAAGUUAGGGGAUCGAAGACGAUCAGAUACCGUCGUAGUCUUAACCAUAAACUAUGCCGACUAGGAAUCAGACGAUGUUAAUUUUUUAAUGACUCGUUCGGCGCCUUACGGGAAAC
RNAcentral lists this ribosomal RNA (554 nucleotides) under Retama raetam. RNAcentral describes it as "SSU rRNA". It matches the Rfam family "Eukaryotic small subunit ribosomal RNA", at positions 548 to 1098 of the family's 1831-position model. Lineage: Eukaryota; Viridiplantae; Streptophyta; Magnoliopsida; Fabales; Fabaceae. The record is from RNAcentral.